ACGAACGCUGGCGGCGUGCCUAAUACAUGCAAGUCGAACGCUUCUUUUCCCACCGGAGCUUGCUCCACCGGGAAAAGAGGAGUGGCGAACGGGUGAGUAACACGUGGGUAACCUGCCCAUCAGAAGGGGAUAACACUUGGAAACAGGUGCUAAUACCGUAUAACAAUCGAAACCGCAUGGUUUCGUUUGAAAGGCGCUUUACGGUGCCGCUGAUGGAUGGACCCGCGGUGCAUUAGCUAGUUGGUGAGGUAACGGCUCACCAAGGCCACGAUGCAUAGCCGACCUGAGAGGGUGAUCGGCCACAUUGGGACUGAGACACGGCCCAAACUCCUACGGGAGGCAGCAGUAGGGAAUCUUCGGCAAUGGACGAAAGUCUGACCGAGCAACGCCGCGUGAGUGAAGAAGGUUUUCGGAUCGUAAAACUCUGUUGUUAGAGAAGAACAUGGGUGAGAGUAACUGUUCACCCCUUGACGGUAUCUAACCAGAAAGCCACGGCUAACUACGUGCCAGCAGCCGCGGUAAU
This 523-nucleotide ribosomal RNA is filed under the name uncultured bacterium. RNAcentral's name for it is "bacterial SSU rRNA". It matches the Rfam family "Bacterial small subunit ribosomal RNA", at positions 29 to 524 of the family's 1533-position model. The record is from RNAcentral.